UACCGGAUGAAUAAGCGCCGGCUAACUACGUGCCAGCAGCCGCGGUAAUACGUAGGGCGCGAGCGUUAAUCGGAAUUACUGGGCGUAAAGCGUGCGCAGGCGGUUUUGUAAGACAGAUGUGAAAGCCCCGGGCUCAACCUGGGAAUUGCAUUUGUGACUGCAAGGCUAGAGUGUGUCAGAGGGAGGUGGAAUUCCCCGUGUAGCAGUGAAAUGCGUAAAGAUGCGGAGGAACACCGAUGGCGAAGGCAGCCUCCUGGGAUAACACUGACGCUCAUGCACGAAAGCGUGGGGAGCAAACAGGAUUAGAUACCCUGGUAGU
Molecule: ribosomal RNA, 319 nt
Filed under: uncultured bacterium
Lineage: Bacteria
Description: bacterial SSU rRNA
Rfam family: Bacterial small subunit ribosomal RNA
Source: RNAcentral